UAAGUGAUGGCGACCGGCGCACGGGUGAGUAACACGUAUCCAACCUGCCGAUAACUCGGGGAUAGCCUUUCGAAAGAAAGAUUAAUACCCGAUGGUAUAAUAAAGCCGCAUGGUUUAAUUAUUAAGGAAUUUCGGUUAUCGAUGGGGAUGCGUUCCAUUAGGCAGUUGGUGAGGUAACGGCUCACCAAACCUUCGAUGGAUAGGGGUUCUGAGAGGAAGGUCCCCCACAUUGGAACUGAGACACGGUCCAA
Molecule: ribosomal RNA, 251 nt
Filed under: uncultured bacterium
Lineage: Bacteria
Description: partial 16S ribosomal RNA
Rfam family: Bacterial small subunit ribosomal RNA
Source: RNAcentral